This 450-nucleotide ribosomal RNA is filed under the name uncultured bacterium. Its description in RNAcentral is "bacterial SSU rRNA". It matches the Rfam family "Bacterial small subunit ribosomal RNA", at positions 354 to 796 of the family's 1533-position model. The record is from RNAcentral.
GUGGGGAAUUUUGGACAAUGGGCGCAAGCCUGAUCCAGCAAUGCCGCGUGCGGGAAGAAGGCCUUCGGGUUGUAAACCGCUUUUGUACGGAACGAAAAGGCUCUGGCUAAUACCUGGGGCUGAUGACGGUACCGUAAGAAUAAGCACCGGCUAACUACGUGCCAGCAGCCGCGGUAAUACGUAGGGUGCGAGCGUUAAUCGGAAUUACUGGGCGUAAAGCGUGCGCAGGCGGUCUUGUAAGACAGAGGUGAAAUCCCUGGGCUCAACCUAGGAAUGGCCUUUGUGACUGCAAGGCUGGAGUGCGGCAGAGGGGGAUGGAAUUCCGCGUGUAGCAGUGAAAUGCGUAGAUAUGCGGAGGAACACCGAUGGCGAAGGCAGUCCCCUGGGCCUGCACUGACGCUCAUGCACGAAAGCGUGGGGAGCAAACAGGAUUAGAAACCCUAGUAGUCC